UAGUCUGUGAAAUGAAAUAGCACAAAUAUUUCAUUCCUUUUUUAUAUAUCAUGGUAUAUAGAAAAACACAUACUGAUGUACAAUAAUAGUUAUAGUCAUUAAAUUAUAGUUUUUACCUUUUUUGAGUUUAGGGCAAGAAAUAUAGAAGAUAAAGAAAAAUAUAAACAAUUACAACCAUGACAACUGUACAGUAGAAAUGAUCGGCAAAACAACAUAAACAGAAGACAACAAGGCCUAAAUGGUGAGACUUCUUGGUUUUCAUGAUCAUCAACAGGUCAAUACAGAAGAGGAAACUUAAGGUUAAUAGUUUUCUACAUUGUGUGCUAAUUGGAUUAAUGUGAAAUGAAAUGUGUGCUUACCUGGAAAAAGAAAAUAGGAAAUUUCUACAAAAUGGCUGUAAACAAAAUGGAGUACAAUCAUAGAUGCACAAGAACACAAUUGUGUAAUUGCAACAACCUACAUAUUCACUGAAGGAUUAUGGAGAAAUGUAGAAAAAAUAGUAUUUUGUUGUCGAAAUAAACACCUGCUUUAUCCAUUCAUGUACAUAGCUCUGUCAUAUCAAAUAUACAGAGGAAGACGUUUGAAGAACAAAUUGCAAAAAUGUAUUCUUUACCAAUUGAAGGAAGAUGUCUGGUGGAUGUAAUUAUUUAUUCACUGAACUGUUAUGUAGGGGAUUGAAUAAUUGUACGCAGUAGCCUAAACAGAAGAAAAGUUAAAUUAACAUGAAAAGUGGUUAUUUAUUUAAUCUGCAAAUAUGAGCACAAUAUUAAUAACAUCACAAAUAGUAUGAUAUUCAUAGCGUUUUGCUUGUUAUUGUAUUGUCUCAAACAGCUAGCCUAUUGUUUUUGUAUGUCAUGUUACUCAUCAGUGAACAUUUUAUUAAAGUUUUAAUUAUC
Long non-coding RNA from Mytilus californianus (California mussel), 896 nucleotides. RefSeq lists it as uncharacterized. The record is from RefSeq and is a predicted model, not a curated record. Lineage: Eukaryota; Metazoa; Mollusca; Bivalvia; Mytilida; Mytilidae. The transcript is spliced from 2 exons.